GCUUAGGGAAGAGCUUGCGUCACAUUAGUUAGUUGGUGGGGUAAUGGCCUACCAAGACGAUGAUGUGUAGCCGGGCUGAGAGGUCGAACGGCCACAUUGGGACUGAGACACGGCCCAAACUCCUACGGGAGGCAGCAGUAAGGAAUUUUCGGCAAUGGAGGAAACUCUGACCGAGCAAUGCCGCGUGAACGAUGAAGUAUUUCGGUACGUAAAGUUCUUUUAUUAGGGAAGAAAAGAUGGUGGAAAAACCAUUAUGACGGUACCUAAUGAAUAAGCCCCGGCUAACUAUGUGCCAGCAGCCGCGGUAAUACAUAGGGGGCAAGCGUUAUCCGGAAUUAUUGGGCGUAAAGGGUGCGUAGGCGGUUAAAUAAGUUUAUGGUCUAAGUGCAACGCUCAACGUUGUGAUGCUAUAAAAACUGUUUAGCUAGAGUUGGAUAGAGGCAAGUGGAAUUCCGUGUGUAGUGGUAAAAUGCGUAAAUAUACGGAGGAACACCAGAAGCGAAGGCGGCUUGCUGGGUCUUAACUGACGCUGAGGCACGAAAGCGUGGGGAGCAAACAGGAUUAGAUACCCUGGUAGUCCACGCCCUAAACGAUGAGUACUAAACGUUGGAUAAAACCAGUGUUGAAGUUAACACAUUAAGUACUCCGCCUGAGUAGUACGUACGCAAGUAUGAAACUUAAAGGAAUUGACGGGACUCCGCACAAGCGGUGGAUCAUGUUGUUUAAUUCGAAGGUACCCGAAAAACCUCACCAGGUCUUGACAUGCUUUUGCAAAGCUGUAGAAAUACAGUGGAGGUUAUCAGAAGCACAGGUGGUGCAUGGUUGUCGUCAGCUCGUGUCGUGAGAUGUUGGGUUAAGUCCCGCAACGAGCGCAACCCUUGUUGUUAAUUGCCAUCAUUAAGUUGGGGACUUUAGCAAGACUGCCAAUGAUAAAUUGGAGGAAGGUGGGGACGACGUCAAAUCAUCAUGCCCCUUAUGACCUGGGCUACAAACGUGAUACAAUGGCUGUUACAAAGGGUAGCUAAAGCGUAAGCUUCUGGCGAAUCUCAAAAAAGCAGUCUCAGUUCGGAUUGAAGUCUGCAACUCGACUUCAUGAAGUUGGAAUCGCUAGUAAUCGCGAAUCAGCAUGUCGCGGUGAAUACGUUCUCGGGGUUUGUACACACCGCCCGUCAAACCACGAAAGUUGGCAAUACCCAAAGCCGGUGGCCUAACUUGAGCAAUCAAGAAGGAGCCGUCUAAGGUAGGGUUGAUGAUUGGGGUUAAGUCGUAACAAGGUAUCCCUACCGGAAGGUGGGGAUGGAUCACCUCCUUUCU
This 1314-nucleotide ribosomal RNA is filed under the name Candidatus Phytoplasma solani. RNAcentral's name for it is "16S ribosomal RNA". It matches the Rfam family "Bacterial small subunit ribosomal RNA", at positions 217 to 1533 of the family's 1533-position model. The record is from RNAcentral. RNAcentral also lists the same sequence under 1 other name. Lineage: Bacteria; Bacillati; Mycoplasmatota; Mollicutes; Acholeplasmatales; Acholeplasmataceae.